RNAcentral lists this ribosomal RNA (301 nucleotides) under uncultured bacterium. RNAcentral describes it as "partial 16S ribosomal RNA". It matches the Rfam family "Bacterial small subunit ribosomal RNA", at positions 509 to 807 of the family's 1533-position model. The record is from RNAcentral.
CAGUAGCCACGGUAAAACGGAGGGUGCAAGCGUUAAUCGGAAUUACUGGGCGUAAAGCGUGCGUAGGCGGUUCGUUAAGUCUGUUGUGAAAGCCCCGGGCUCAACCUGGGAAUGGCAAUGGAUACUGGCGAGCUAGAGUGUGUCAGAGGAUGGUGGAAUUCCCGGUGUAGCGGUGAAAUGCGUAGAGAUCGGGAGGAACAUCAGUGGCGAAGGCGGCCAUCUGGGACAACACUGACGCUGAGGCACGAAAGCGUGGGGAGCAAACAGGAUUAGAGACCCGCGUAGUCCCUGUCUCUUAUAC